Molecule: ribosomal RNA, 424 nt
Filed under: uncultured Actinomycetes bacterium
Lineage: Bacteria; Bacillati; Actinomycetota; Actinomycetes
Description: bacterial SSU rRNA
Rfam family: Bacterial small subunit ribosomal RNA
Source: RNAcentral
CUUAACCUCGGAAUUGCAGUCGAUACUGCUGUGACUCGAGUCCGGUAGAGGAGAAUGGAAUUCUCGGUGUAGCGGUGAAAUGCGCAGAUAUCGAGAGGAACACCAGUAGCGAAGGCGGUUCUCUGGGCCGGCACUGACGCUGAGGAGCGAAAGCGUGGGGAGCAAACAGGAUUAGAUACCCUGGCAGUCCACGCCGUAAACGUUGGAUACUAGGUGUGGCGGUCUUACCAACGACUGCUGUGCCGAAGCUAACGCAUUAAGUAUCCCGCCUGGGGAGUACGGCCGCAAGGCUAAAACUCAAAGGAAUUGACGGGUCCCCGCACAAGCGGCGGAGCAUGCGGCUUAAUUCGAUGCAACCCGAAGAACCUUACCUGGGUUUGACAUCACGGGAAAAGCUGUAGAAAUACAGUGUCCAUUAGGGCCC